RNAcentral lists this ribosomal RNA (494 nucleotides) under uncultured bacterium. Its description in RNAcentral is "partial 16S ribosomal RNA". It matches the Rfam family "Bacterial small subunit ribosomal RNA", at positions 28 to 507 of the family's 1533-position model. The record is from RNAcentral.
GACGAACGCUGGCGGCGUGCUUAACACAUGCAAGUCGAACGGUGAAGCGCCUUCCUUUUUGGUGGGUGUGGAUGAGUGGCGAACGGGUGAGUAACACGUGAGUAACCUGCCCCCUUCUUCUGGAUAACCGCAUGAAAGUGUGGCUAAUACGGGAUAUUCUGGGUCUGUCGCAUGAUGGGUCUGGGAAAGAUAUUGUUUCGGUGGGGGAUGGGCUCGCGGCCUAUCAGCUUGUUGGUGGGGUGAUGGCCUACCAAGGCGGUGACGGGUAGCCGGCCUGAGAGGGUGGACGGUCACACUGGGACUGAGACACGGCCAAGACUCCUACGGGCGGCAGCAGUGGGGAAUAUUGCACAAUGGGCGCAAGCCUGAUGCAGCGACGCCGCGUGAGGGAUGGAGGACUUCGGGUUGUGAACCUCUUUCUCCAGUGAAGCAGGACUGCCUCGUUUGUGGGUGGGUUGACGGUAGCUGGAUAAGAAGCGACGGCUAACUACAUG